UCGAGCUGAAGAUCUGGGUCACCUCCCACCCGUGUUUAUUUUACCUUGUUGCUUCGGCGGGCCCGCCUUAACUGGCCGCCGGGGGGCUUACGCCCCCGGGCCCGCGCCCGCCGAAGACACCCUCGAACUCUGUCUGAAGAUUGUAGUCUGAGUGAAAAUAUAAAUUAUUUAAAACUUUCAACAACGGAUCUCUUGGUUCCGGCAUCGAUGAAGAACGCAGCGAAAUGCGAUACGUAAUGUGAAUUGCAAAUUCAGUGAAUCAUCGAGUCUUUGAACGCACAUUGCGCCCCCUGGUAUUCCGGGGGGCAUGCCUGUCCGAGCGUCAUUGCUGCCCUCAAGCACGGCUUGUGUGUUGGGCCCCGUCCUCCGAUCCCGGGGGACGGGCCCGAAAGGCAGCGGCGGCACCGCGUCCGGUCCUCGAGCGUAUGGGGCUUUGUCACCCGCUCUGUAGGCCCGGCCGGCGCUUGCCGAUCAACCCAAAUUUUUAUCCAGGUUGACCUCGGAUCAGGUAGGGAUACCCGCUGAACUUAAGCAUAC
This 537-nucleotide ribosomal RNA is filed under the name Penicillium chrysogenum. RNAcentral describes it as "eukaryotic LSU rRNA". The stretch from base 173 to 325 matches the Rfam family "5.8S ribosomal RNA". The record is from RNAcentral. Lineage: Eukaryota; Fungi; Ascomycota; Eurotiomycetes; Eurotiales; Aspergillaceae.